Non-coding RNA from Triticum urartu, 125 nucleotides. The record is from Rfam. NCBI's taxonomy places the organism in Eukaryota, Viridiplantae, Streptophyta, Magnoliopsida, Poales, Poaceae.
AGAAUACUCCCUCCGUCCAGAAAUAUUUGUCAUCAAAAUGGAUGAAAAUGAAUGUAUCUAGAACUAAAAUACAUCUAGAUACAUCCAUUUCAAUGACAAAUAUUUCCGGACGGAGGGGGUACAUA